This is a long non-coding RNA of Homo sapiens (human), 1119 nucleotides long. RefSeq lists it as uncharacterized. The transcript is spliced from 4 exons. The record is from RefSeq and is marked validated. Lineage: Eukaryota; Metazoa; Chordata; Mammalia; Primates; Hominidae.
CCUGCUCUCCAUGCCUGUCUGAGCACGAGUGAAGUGAAUCAGAGAGAGAUUGCAAGAUGGAGAAAGGAGGUACAGUUGGAGAGAGUGGAGGGGGCAGGAAAGACCAGACAGAGCUGCAUCUCCCAUGAAAACAACUGUGUACAUAAGAUAGAGUGAGUACAUAGAGUACAUAGAAGAGUGAGCUCUGAAAGAACUCUCACAUGGACCCCAGAAAGAGGAGUACUCAACGCCUGCUGCACAGAAGGCAUCAGCAGUUAAGUACUGGCUAGAAAAGCGGAGUCCAUCAAAGGAGAGGACCACAGUGGUAGCUGCCUGCUAAAGCUCUCAGCGUGAAUCAUGUUCCAUCAAUGAAACACACACACAUGUGCAAUAUGGAAGAUGAGUGAAAUCCAGGCUAUCUUCCUGAAGCUACUGUUCCUGGCAAGUGUAGCUGUGGGGACUGAGUUUUGGGCAGCAGCAAAUAACUCCCAGCUUCCAUGUGCUUGAGAGUCAGUUGCCGGGAUGCCAGCAGCUGCAUCCUCAGUCUAAGAUUGCAGCCAAUGAUGAUGUUUUCAUGAAUCCACCGUUCACGUGGCAGCCUCCUGGAGCUCAGACUGAUGCCUGCUCCUCCAGCCUUCCAAUACCUUUGCAAACACCUGAAUUCCACAUUAAUCUCUCUCUGUUUAGAAUACCCAGAGUGGCUUGUGUUUCCUGGGCUGAACCCUGCCUGGAGAGCUGUCCCUGCAAGCUGAACUAACAGAAGAUGAAGAAUGAGGUCUCCCUGAAAUGCCCACCAUAAGACUGCCAGAUAUGGGACUGCUGGAUGACACUCUGGCUACCCCACUGAGUUUUAUGAAAACAUAACAGAAUAAAGACACUUACUUGUCAACUCAGUUACAAGCUAUUGAGGCACUCCAGAGUGACGGCAUGUGAUCCCCCUGACACAAGAAACAGGCCCAGAUAACACACCGUUCAGACCGACAGCAGUUCUGGUUAUGCUGCAGUACAUCAGACGAGUGCUCUUAUCCAUCCACAGUUCUUAUCACAGUUACUUAUGCAUAUAUUCAUUUUUUAUAUAAAAGAAUCUUGAAUCGGUCACUUAAAUAUUGAAUCUCAAUAAUAAAAAAUACUAAAAGUAUA